UGGGGGAUAUUGCACAAUGGGCGCAAGCCUGAUGCAGCGACGCCGCGUGGGGGAUGAAGGCCUUCGGGUUGUAAACUUCUUUUGCUCUGAACAAGGCGCACUUUGGGGUGUGUUGAGUGUAGGGGUUGAUUAGCGCCGGCUAACUACGUGCCAGCAGCCGCGGUAAUACGUAGGGCGCGAGCGUUGUCCGGAAUUAUUGGGCGUAAAGGGCUUGUAGGUGGCUGGUUGCGUCUGUCGUGAAAGCUCAUGGCUUAACUGUGGGUUUGCGGUGGGUACGGGCUGGCUUGAGGGCAGUAGGGGAGGCUGGAAUUCCUGGGGUAGCGGUGGAAUGCGCAGAUAUCAGGAGGAAUACCGGUGGCGAAGGCGGGUCUCUGGGCUGUUACUGACACUGAGGAGCGAAAGCAUGGGGAGCGAACAGG
Molecule: ribosomal RNA, 419 nt
Filed under: bacterium
Lineage: Bacteria
Description: partial 16S ribosomal RNA
Rfam family: Bacterial small subunit ribosomal RNA
Source: RNAcentral